UACAGAGGUCUCAAGCGUUGUUCGGAUUCAUUGGGCGUAAAGGGUGCGUAGGCGGCGCGGUAAGUCGGGUGUGAAAUCUCGGAGCUUAACUCCGAAACUGCAUUCGAUACUGCCGUGCUCGAGGACUGGAGAGGAGACUGGAAUUUACGGUGUAGCGGUGAAAUGCGUAGAUAUCGUAAGGAAGGCCAGUGGCGAAGGCGGGUCUCUGGACAGUUCCUGACGCUGAGGCACGAAGGCCAGGGGAGCAAACGGG
Molecule: ribosomal RNA, 253 nt
Filed under: uncultured bacterium
Lineage: Bacteria
Description: partial 16S ribosomal RNA
Rfam family: Bacterial small subunit ribosomal RNA
Source: RNAcentral